CUGAGUGGAAGGAGGUGGCAGCGAGUGUGUUGAUGGGUGCUGGUGAUAGGAUGUUACUGAGUGGAUGGAGGUGGAGGUGUUGGUGGGUGCUGGUGAUAGGAUGUUACUGAGUGGAAGGAGGUGGAGGUGUUGGUGGGUGCUGGUGAUAGGAUGUUACUGAGUGGAAGGAGGUGGAGGUGUUGGUGGGUGCUGGUGAUAGGAUGUUACUGAGUGGAUGGAGGUGGAGGUGUUGGUGGGUGCUGGUGAUAGGAUGUUACUGAGUGGAAGGAGGUGGAGGUGUUGGUGGGUGCUGGUGAUAGGAUGUUACUGAGUGGAAGGAGGUGGAGGUGUUGGUGGGUGCUGGUGAUAGGAUGUUACUGAGUGGAAGGAGGUGGAGGUGUUGGUGGGUGCUGGUGAUAGGAUGUUACUGAGUGGAUGGAGGUGGGGGUGUUGGUGGGUGCUGGUGAUAGGAUGUUACUGAGUGGAUGGAGGUGGAGGUGUUGGUGGGUGCUGGUGAUAGGAUGUUACUGAGUGGAAGGAGGUGGCAGCUAGUGUGUUGGUGGGUGCUGGUGAUAGGAUGUUACUGAGUGGAAGGAGGUGGCAGCUAGUGUGUUGGUGGGUGCUGGUGAUAGGAUGUUACUGAGUGGAUGGAGGUGGAGGUGUUGGUGGGUGCUGGUGAUAGGAUGUUACUGAGUGGAAGGAGGUGGAGGUGCUGGUGAUCUCCGCGGAAAAAGGAUGUCUGGCUACUCAUCUUUGAAGCUCAUAAAAUAUCGCUAGUUUAUGGAGAGAGGAAUAUUAUGCAGCAGAUAUCGGCCUAUUGCCCCACACACAGACCACUGAGUAGGCUAAUUAUUAUAUAGCUGCCCAGUUACUUAUUAAAUCGUGCCAUCUUUUCGACAUUUCAAGCUGUGAUAACAUUGAUUGUAUAAGUGAUGUCAAAUUUAAGUCCCAAACAUAUAGUCAAGCGUCAAAGUGAGAAUCAAGAAGGAAGCAGUUUGAGCAGUUUGUCUUUCCCGCGUCUUACGUCAUCACACCCACACGGGGACGCUGAGGGAAGGACGGAGCGGCUCUUCCUCAAUAUAUCUGCCUUUAUCUCGUGAAUCCGGCGCGUUGAGGAGAAGGUGAGUAUGUGGAGGGAGGCAUGCAAUGUUCAAAAUACCUUGGAACACUAAAUGACUGAGGGUUGUGGUGAGAUGAAGGAAGCAAGUG
This is a long non-coding RNA of Eriocheir sinensis (Chinese mitten crab), 1188 nucleotides long. RefSeq lists it as uncharacterized. The record is from RefSeq and is a predicted model, not a curated record. Lineage: Eukaryota; Metazoa; Arthropoda; Malacostraca; Decapoda; Varunidae. The transcript has 4 exons.